Molecule: long non-coding RNA, 260 nt
Filed under: Anser cygnoides (Swan goose)
Lineage: Eukaryota; Metazoa; Chordata; Aves; Anseriformes; Anatidae
Description: lncRNA (ENSACDG00005008556.1)
Source: RNAcentral
GUCAUGGGUAAACACUUGUGGGCACCCAUGGGUGUUUAUAUCGUGGAUAUAUGCGUGUGGGCACCCAUGGGUGUUCGUGUUGUGGUACAUAUGUGUGUGGGGCACCCAUGGGUGCUCAUGUCAUGGAUAUAUGUGUGCGGGGCACCCAUAGGUGUUCGUGUCGUGGAUACGUGUGUGCAGGGCACCCGUGGGUGCUCAUGUUGUGGUUACAGGUGUGCAGGGCACCCAUGGGUGUUCAUGUUGUGGAUAUACGUCUGUGG